GACAGGUCAACUUUUAGUUUUGAUCUUGUGAAAGAUUCAAAGCAUGAGCAUCCCCUUUUCUCUUUCUUGCUUGUUUUGACAGGAUGGGCUCGUCGUAUGUGUUCCAUUGGCUAAGACUUGUAGGGUCAAUCAUUGAUUGAGAGCUUAAUUUGAUUCGAGCUUUUUUCGUAUCAGUUUCAAGCAUUUCUGUAACGAUGGCGUGCAAAAAUAUCAGUCCAUGCAUAUUCAUAGUUUGCUCUGUUGUGGUUUCUGUUCUCUCUGCUGAACCAAGCUUGGAAGCUGAAAUUGAGGCCUUGAAGGCUUUCAAGAAUGCCAUCACGCAGGACCCUUUAGGAGCACUUGCUAAUUGGACUGAUGCAAGCCAUCGCUGCAAUUGGUCUGGUGUUACCUGUGACCCUUCCUCAAAUCUUGUCGUUUCCAUUUCUCUAGUUGACAAGCAGCUCCGAGGCCAGAUAUCUCCAUUUCUUGGAAAUCUCUCAGCUCUCCAGGUUCUUGAUUUGACUUUAAAUUCAUUUACUGGGCACAUUCCACCUCAGCUGGGACUUUGCUCCCAGCUAACAGAUCUUACUCUUUAUGAAAAUUCUCUUUCAGGUCCAAUUCCAGCAGAAUUAGGAAACCUUCAAAAUCUGCAUUCUGUAGAUUUAGGUGAUAAUUCCUUGAAUGGAAGUAUUCCUGAAAGCAUUUGCAAUUGCACUUCCUUGCAAGCGCUUGGUAUCAUUUUUAACAAUUUGACUGGA
RNAcentral lists this unclassified non-coding RNA (737 nucleotides) under Hevea brasiliensis (rubber tree). Lineage: Eukaryota; Viridiplantae; Streptophyta; Magnoliopsida; Malpighiales; Euphorbiaceae. The record is from RNAcentral.